This 253-nucleotide ribosomal RNA is filed under the name uncultured bacterium. RNAcentral's name for it is "partial 16S ribosomal RNA". It matches the Rfam family "Bacterial small subunit ribosomal RNA", at positions 524 to 776 of the family's 1533-position model. The record is from RNAcentral.
UACAGAGGUCCCAAGCGUUGUUCGGAUUCACUGGGCGUAAAGGGUGCGUAGGCGGUCGGGUAAGUCUGAUGUGAAAUCUCACAGCUUAACUGUGAAACUGCAUUGGAUACUAUCCGGCUAGAGGAAUGGAGGGGAGACUGGAAUACUUGGUGUAGCAGUGAAAUGCGUAGAUAUCAAGUGGAACACCAGUGGCGAAGGCGAGUCUCUGGACAUUUCCUGACGCUGAGGCACGAGAGCCAGGGGAGCAAACGGG